Hibiscus syriacus is the source of this 2307-nucleotide long non-coding RNA. RefSeq lists it as uncharacterized. The record is from RefSeq and is a predicted model, not a curated record. Lineage: Eukaryota; Viridiplantae; Streptophyta; Magnoliopsida; Malvales; Malvaceae. The transcript is spliced from 3 exons.
AGGGGAAAACAUAAAGCUUCUUUCUUUCUCUUUCUCUAAUCAAGUUUCUUCUUCGAUUUCUUCCGACUCUUUCAAGUUAGAAAUUUUGGCUAGAAAUUCUUCGCCUCUUCUCUCCGUUGCCGCCUCUAAAGAAUAUGUCAUCUUUUGAUGAGAAUGGAGAUCUUAAUUCCGUAUUUGUUGACUCGAUGAUGGAGUCUGAUGAGGAGGGAAGACAAAAUUUAGCAGCAAAAAAAGCUUCUCUCGAUAAAAAUGCCAGAAAGAGGAAGAGAAAGUCCAAGUGGUGGAGUCAUUUUUCAGUUGAUGAGGAGGAUCCCACUUUUGCUUCCUGUAAGUAUUGUCAUAAACUUAUUGGUUGUAAAACCAAAAAUGGCACUACACCUUUAGAAAAUCACAUUAGUAGGUGCAAAAAAUAUCCUCCAAAUUUGGAUAAGAAACAAAAAUUGAUUGAUUUUGAAAGUGAAACAUUGAUAAAUGAAGAUGGAAGUACUGAAACAGUUAGUGUACCAAAAUGUUGGAAAUUUUAUCAUGAUUUGUGUAGGAAGAAGCUUGCUAAAAUGCUUAUUUUGGAUGAAUUGCCUUUUGCUUUUGUCGAACGUGAAGGUUUCAUUGAAUUCUGCAAGGCUUUAAAUCCUGUCUUUAAGCUUCCUUCUCGUACAACUGCCACUAGAGAUUGUUAUGCUCUUUUUAUUGAACAAAGAAAUGAGUUGAAAAAGACUUUUAAGAACUUAAAUUCUAGGGUUUGUCUAACCACAAACACUUGGACAUCGGGUCAAAAUUUAAGCUAUAUGUGUUUGACAGCCCAUUUUAUUGUUGAUGAAUGGAAUUUGUAUAAGAGGAUAAUUAAUUUUCGUUCAAUUGUUGGUCAUUCGGACAACUUAUUGGUAGAGCUGUUGAAAAAUGCUUGAUUGAAUGGGGUUGGAAAAACAUUAUGACUGUAACGUAUACAAUACUAGCUCAAAUGAUUUAACAAUUGAAUAAUUGAGAAGAAGACUUACCAUUUGGGAAUCUAGUUUAUUGGAGGGUCGAUAUUUACAUAUGAUAUGUGCAUCCCACAUUUUGAAUUUGAUUGUGAAAGAGGGUUUGAAAGAACUUGAUUUGUCCAUUAUGAAAUUUCAAACUCUUGUGAUAUAUGUUAAAUCUUCUCCCUCUAGACUUCAAAAUUUUAAAACUUGCAUAGAAUAGGAGAAAGAGGAUAGAAAAAGUUUGGUUACUUUAUAUGUUGAGACUAUAUGGAAUUCAACUUUCCUAAUGCUCGAAUCUGCUAUCAUGUUUAAAAAGGCAUUUUCUAGUUUAUACAUGAAAGACUCUUCUUGUUUCAAGGAACUUAGAAAGGUUGGUGGUGGUCCCAUUGAAGAUGAUUGGAAGAGGGUGAGUAGUUUUUUACCUUUCUUGAGCAUUUUUUAUGAAGCAACAUUGAGGUUAUCUGGUUCUCGUUAUGUGACUUGAAACCAUUAUGCACAUGAGAUUUACGGGACUAGAUUAAUGAUUUACAACAUAAGUGAUGAUGAUGAGUGUAUUAAGAAAAUGGCAGCCCAAAUGAAGUUUAAGUAUGAAAAGUAUUAUGGGAACAUUGAUAAUAUCAAUAUUAUGAUGUUUGUGGCUGUGAUCCUUGACCCUAGGCACAAGUUGAAUUAUGUUAAUUGGACUGUGCAUGAUUCUUAUGAUGAAACACAAGCCACUCUUUUGUGCCUCAAAAUUAAGAUGGUCUUGCAAUCUUUAUUUGACUCAUAUGCUUCUUCAAUGCCUCCUUCAAAGACAAGUGAUAUGUCUUCCUCCACUUCUACUUCUUUAUCUAAUUUCACUCAAGGUGGGACUCAAAGUGGAGGUAAGAUUGAUCUUCAACAACUUAUGGCUUCAAAAUUUCAAAGGAAUACGGGUUGUUUGUUAACUAGUGCCAACAAAAAUGAGUUGGAUAAGUAUUUAGAAGAUGCUUGUGAGUCUCAUGUUUCAAAUUUUGAUAUCCUACAAUGGUGGAAAGAUUAACCAAAAAGAUACUCGAUUCUUCAUAGGAUGGCUAAAGAUGUACUUGUCAUACCUAUCUCGACUAUAGCUUCUGAGUCGGCUUUUAGUAUGGGGGUUGUGUCCUUGAUCCUUUUCAUAUUUCAUUGACUCCAAAAAUGGUUGAAGCGCUUGUUGCACGCAAGAUUGGUUACACACCUCUCGGUCACCUAUUAUAAUAGAGGAAAGUUUAAUUGCCUUGGAAGAGUUGGAGGAAUCCAUGAAGGAUCUAACUUUAGAGCAAUCGGAGAUCAUAAUUGACGAGACAAUUAAUACUUUGGAUGAUUUGUAAUUUUGAAGUACUUAGUG